CAAAAGGCUCUUUUAAGAGCCACACAAAUUAUUUUAAAAGAUGAAAU
RNAcentral lists this non-coding RNA (47 nucleotides) under Podarcis lilfordi (Lilford's wall lizard). It matches the Rfam family "Histone 3' UTR stem-loop". From Rfam's summary of the family: The mRNAs of metazoan histone genes lack a poly-A tail. The record is from RNAcentral. Lineage: Eukaryota; Metazoa; Chordata; Lepidosauria; Squamata; Lacertidae.